This is a long non-coding RNA of Planococcus citri (citrus mealybug), 1184 nucleotides long. RefSeq lists it as uncharacterized. The record is from RefSeq and is a predicted model, not a curated record. The transcript has 2 exons. Lineage: Eukaryota; Metazoa; Arthropoda; Insecta; Hemiptera; Pseudococcidae.
GAUAGAAAAGGGGCAAAAAGAAAUCAAAUCAUGGUUUUCGAUACGUGUAUCAAUUUUCUCUUAAAAUUUCACCUCUCCUCAUUCUCCCUCUUUAGCUCCGUUCUCCACAUUUGCUUCAAUCGUGAAAUUAUAAUGAUAGCCAACAUCUGAUUUGAAAAAUUAACCGGACCGUAGAACGUUCUCGAUAGAUGAUUUUCUAAUUAAAUACCUACUUGAAAUAUGUACUAAGAAAAAUAGUUUACGCGUCUAUUUAUUAUUAUUAUUAUUGUGUUCAUUUUCAUUUGAUUGCAAAGUUGAUCAAGUGAAUAUUUGUAAUUCUAAUUCGACCAUAUUGUUGUUUCAAUUUCAUAGUUAGGUACAUAAUUAUUUUUUCGCCGCAAUCUCAAUGUUGCGAGUGAAGGUAUUUUCAAUUCUCUUAAUCAUUCUGUGUUCGACGACGUUAUCAAUCGUCAGUUCAGAUUCAAAACCAGAGCCAGAACCAGAUCCAGCAGAACCAGAGCCAGAGCCAGAACCAGAACCAGAAGCGUACGAGUAUUCGCCAAUACGAGGCGAUAUUUGCAUUUUGAACGCUUGUUGUAAAGGAGAAAACCAAUUUUGUUCCAGACCCGCGUUUAUUUUGCCAAUUUUCGGAAUCUGUGCGACGAGACCCAUCGAAUACGACUGAGAUAAUUUUUGAUUGAAUUGGCAUGCGCUAUAUAGGUCGCCAUGUUGCGAGUACGUAUGGUUUUAAUUGUUUCCAUCGUUGCGUGUUCGACGUUACCAAUCAUGGGUAGUUCAGAAAAACAAGGCAGCUGGUGUAUGACUAGUUUGGGCUGCAGAUCUGACCAAGUUUGCUACAGGUCUCCUUAUAAAUUUCUCUUCGUGGGAAAAUGUAUACCGAGAAAAGUUGGUCUUUGUUUUUUCAACUCUUGUUGCGAAAAAGAAAACCAUCGAUGUUACAGAUCUCCUUACAGAUUCAUGCUUAUGGGAAAAUGUGGUGAAAAAAAAACGUGAGAUUAUUUUUGAUGGAAGUUUCUUUGUACAUAUUAAAUCAGUAUUUUUAAAUAAUAAUAUUACUCAUGCUAACUAUACCAACGCAGUCCUGCUGAAUUUGAUGGAGUAGUCGUACAAUAUCGCAUACACAAAGAUAGCAAAUGCUAGUGAAAUUGUGUGAAAUUGAAUAAUAAAUAUUUCGAAAAUGGCUA